RNAcentral lists this ribosomal RNA (460 nucleotides) under uncultured bacterium. Its description in RNAcentral is "partial 16S ribosomal RNA". It matches the Rfam family "Bacterial small subunit ribosomal RNA", at positions 338 to 795 of the family's 1533-position model. The record is from RNAcentral.
CCUACGGGGUGCAGCAGUGAGGAAUAUUGGUCAAUGGACGAGAGUCUGAACCAGCCAAGUAGCGUGAAGGAUGACUGCCCUAUGGGUUGUAAACUUCUUUUAUAUGGGAAUAAAAUGUUCCACGUGUGGGAUUUUGUAUGUACCAUAUGAAUAAGGAUCGGCUAACUCCGUGCCAGCAGCCGCGGUAAUACGGAGGAUCCGAGCGUUAUCCGGAUUUAUUGGGUUUAAAGGGAGCGUAGGUGGAUUGUUAAGUCAAUUGUGAAAGUUUGCGGCUCAACCGUAAAAUUGCAGUUGAAACUGGCAGUCUUGAGUACAGUAGAGGUGGGCGGAAUUCGUGGUGUAGCGGUGAAAUGCUUAGAUAUCACGAAGAACUCCGAUUGCGAAGGCAGUUCACUGGACUGCAACUGACACUGAGGCUCGAAAGUGUGGGUAUCAAACAGGAUUAGAUACCCCAGUAGUC